UGCGUGAAAUUUCUAGGAUCGCAAAUCAAAAUGCAAUAAAAUAUGAUAUGCAUGAUGAUCUAAUGUAUAACAUUCCAAUUGAAAAUUUGGGAUGUUACAUAUAACUCAAAUUCUAUAAUUAUGAACACAGAAAUAUUAAUGUAGAACUCUAUUUUGUUUUGAAAUUGUAUUAUUUUUUAGAAUUUAGUCUAGAGCAUUUCGUGAACUUGAAUCAAACCUUUAAAUAAAACAAAGCAUAAAAAUGACAAAUUCACAUAUGAAAUAACUUGUGUUACAUAGAUUUAUUACAAUAGCGUUGUAUGUGUGUAUGUGUGCGUGAGUGCCUAUGGUAAUAUCAAUAAAUAUCUUGAUAGAUGUUUCUACAAUUCACGGGUCUAACUAGUAAUGCAAUGCAAUGCAUGCUAAAAGAAUAGAACCUUAGUUUCAUUUAACUAACAAUUUUCAAAUGUAUGAGUUGCCAACAAGUGGCAUACUUGGCACUGUUUGUUUGUUCAUUUUAUGGAAAGUUCUUCUCUUUUUACAUGGUUUAGAUUCCAGCAUGUAGCCACAAAAUAUGAUUGUCAAAAGAUAAUACCUCAUAAUACAAUUCCACUAAAGUCACCUAGCCCAAGUGACCGACCUGAUCCUGAAAUAAAAUCAGAAGAUUUGGUGUCAUCAUCAUGACAACAAAUUAUUAGGCGGUAGAUCUUGUGGUAGUACUCAUGAUGUAAAAUUAUCAAGAGGGAGAGAAUGUAUGGAGAUUUAUGUGAAGUACAUCGUACACCAGACAUAGUUGACACAUCGAUUUUUUAAGAUACAUUUGGACGCGCCUUGUGGGAGUGUAAAGUACUACCAUGUAUUAGAAGAGGUGAAAUGAGAAAUGCCAUAGCUAGCAAGUAGGCCUAGUUAAGGAAAUUCUUCCUUAGACUCCCCUUCUCCCGAAGAGUGAAGUGCUUCAACUAAAGGUCCCUCGGAUCUGAGCCCUUUCUCCAAGCCCUUCAUUGGAUUCCCUGGAUGUCUUUUUGUUACAUUUUAUUGAAGUGAGAGUGAAUUAUUAUAUGCCCAUAGGAGGUGGGAUAUAAAGGCUGUUGGUAUUCUGCACCAUACAUGCUAGAGUAGGGAGGAGAGGGUGGUGCAUGAUACAUGGUGGACUAGCCCAUAUAUUUACCCCUCCCCCACCCACCUAACAAGUUUUUUUCUAUUAGGUCUUCAUCCUCUGAUUUGUUUUUCUGUUAGCCCAUUCUUCAUCAUGGACUUAUUAAUCAUGAUUAGUUUCUUGGAUUUUUGUUUACUUGACUUGAAUUUGACAAUGUGCCUCAUAUAUGGCAUGUGGGACUGAUAGGAAGAUAUAUUCUCACAACAUUAACUUAAAAAGGAUUAUUUUUUUGGUG
This is a non-coding RNA of Aegilops tauschii subsp. strangulata, 1370 nucleotides long. The record is from RefSeq and is a predicted model, not a curated record. NCBI's taxonomy places the organism in Eukaryota, Viridiplantae, Streptophyta, Magnoliopsida, Poales, Poaceae.